AUUCAGCUGAUGAGUUCAAAAUAGGACGAAACGCGCAUCUUGGAU
Molecule: non-coding RNA, 45 nt
Filed under: Schistosoma curassoni
Lineage: Eukaryota; Metazoa; Platyhelminthes; Trematoda; Strigeidida; Schistosomatidae
Source: RNAcentral